UACGGAGGGUGCAAGCGUUACUCGGAAUCACUGGGCGGAAAGGGUGCGUAGGCGGCCUAGCAAGUCUGGUGUGAAAGCCCAGGGCUCAACCCUGGAAGGGCACUGGAAACUGUUAGGCUUGAGUUCCGGAGAGGAGGGGGGAAUUCCCGGUGUAGCGGUGAAAUGCGUAGAUAUCGGGAGGAAUACCGGUGGCGAAGGCGCCCCUCUGGACGGAAACUGACGCUGAGGCGCGAAAGCGUGGGGAGCAAACAGG
RNAcentral lists this ribosomal RNA (253 nucleotides) under uncultured bacterium. RNAcentral's name for it is "partial 16S ribosomal RNA". It matches the Rfam family "Bacterial small subunit ribosomal RNA", at positions 524 to 776 of the family's 1533-position model. The record is from RNAcentral.